This is a long non-coding RNA of Hippocampus zosterae (dwarf seahorse), 280 nucleotides long. RefSeq lists it as uncharacterized. The transcript has 2 exons. NCBI's taxonomy places the organism in Eukaryota, Metazoa, Chordata, Actinopteri, Syngnathiformes, Syngnathidae. The record is from RefSeq and is a predicted model, not a curated record.
CACGCCAGAGCGAGCGCUCGCACGUGUGGAACGGCCAAGUCCAAACUUCCAAACAAAAUGGCGGACUUCCUGUGUCUUUCCCCGCAUGGCUUCUUCAGACUUUUUUGUGUCUCCCUUCAUGAUAGACAUGCCUACUGACGGCCUUUAGGAAAAAAAAUACUUCCAAGUUCAUUCUUUAAAGAAAGAUUUUUGACUUUUUCAAAGCUUCCUGAGACUUAUCUGUUAAUGGACACGUGACCACUUUUCAUGCUGCAAAGGGAAUCUCCCCCCCCCCACCCCC